AACCCUAGCAUCUAUGAAUCUAUGAAUGAGAACAGGCAUAAAAGGAUCCCUGGAAAAGACCAGGGAAAGGGGGAGAGAACUUGGAAGCUCCAGACCGGAAGUCGCUGUGACGGCCAAGCAGAGAAGAGUGGGAAGCAAUCCCUAUUCUCUCCUAGGCUGUUGGGGAAGUGUUGACAGCCUGAAGAGCAGCAGAGAGAGGCAAACAAGGGGGAGCACUAGCAGAGAGCAAUGCCGGUGAGACAGACGGCGACAAGCAGGGAGCACAGCAGAAAUACUGUUGCCAGGCAUGCUUUUCUGAUGUCAUUCAUCAAGCACCUGGCGAAUCAGAGCCGGCAGGAGCGGAUAGUGUGUAGUCUGUGAUUCCAGCGAGUCCUGUGCUUCUGACUCUCAUUCCCGACAAACACAGGAAACAGAGGGCGAGUAACUCAUAAUGAACAGACCCUGACUCUGCAAAUACUUGCACACAAAGACAAGCAUGUACAUAUGAGUCGUCUAAUUGAAACCAGUGAACUCAGCAGACUGCUGAUUUGCAUAAAGCUAAAAAAAGGUGAAUAAAUGCUUUACAUGACUUGGACCUUAUUUAGCA
Long non-coding RNA from Alligator sinensis (Chinese alligator), 586 nucleotides. RefSeq lists it as uncharacterized. The transcript is spliced from 3 exons. NCBI's taxonomy places the organism in Eukaryota, Metazoa, Chordata, Crocodylia, Alligatoridae. The record is from RefSeq and is a predicted model, not a curated record.